UACAGAGGGUGCAAACGUUGUUCGGAAUUACUGGGCGUAAAGCGCGUGUAGGCGGCCUCGCAAGUCGGGUGUGAAAGCCCUGGGCUCAACCCAGGAAGUGCACUCGAAACUGCAAGGCUUGAGUUCCGGAGAGGGAAGCGGAAUUCUCGGUGUAGAGGUGAAAUUCGUAGAUAUCGAGAGGAACACCGGUGGCGAAGGCGGCUUUCUGGACGGCGACUGACGCUGAGACGCGAAAGCGUGGGGAGCAAACAGG
Molecule: ribosomal RNA, 253 nt
Filed under: uncultured bacterium
Lineage: Bacteria
Description: partial 16S ribosomal RNA
Rfam family: Bacterial small subunit ribosomal RNA
Source: RNAcentral